AUUAAAUUAUUAAGUUGACCUAAUUUCAAAUCCAUCAUUUCAGGAAACAUGAGAGAAUCGAAGAUGAUGUUUUGUGCUAAUAAUGCAAUGGACAUACCGUACUUCAUGCCACCACGAGGCUAUACAAAAAGCUCAUCACUGAAAGGUAUGGACCUUGCCACACCCUUCUUAAGAAUUCAUUUUCUAGUUUUAUAUCUCAUAAAAAAUUACAUUAAUUAGAAUGUGACUUUUUGACCGGGAAAUAAUGUAUACUAUUGGUAGAGUUGUGCUUCCCAAUUACUUUAAUUAAAUUAAUAAGUUGACCUGAUUUCAGAUCCAUCAUUUAAAAAAAUAUGAGAGAAUCGAAGAUGAAGGUUUGUGCUAUUAACGCAAUGGACAUGCCACACUUCAUGCCACCGCCGCACUUCAUGCCAGACUAUACAAAAAACUCUCAAUGCAGUUAGUUAUUGUCUUUUGACCUUGACUCACCUUCUUAAGAAUUCAGUUCCAAUUCUACACCUCAAAUUAAUUUUUUUUAAAAGGCUGCAUUCAUUAGAAUGUGAUAUUUUGACUAAGAAUAAUCUGUACUACUAGUAGAUUGUGCUCCCCAAAUUAAUCUAAUUAAAUUAAUAAGUUGACCUCAUUUCUGAUCCAUUGUUUCAGGAAGAUGUACAUGAGAAUUGAAGAUGAAGCUGCAUUUUACAUUUUGAAUAUGGAUGGCUAUCAUUUUAUUAAUGUAAAAGAAACUAGCCAGCACCUCCACUAGCUGGCUGAUUUAAAUGCACUCAUCCGCAAAU
This 776-nucleotide long non-coding RNA is filed under the name Nicotiana tabacum (common tobacco). RNAcentral's name for it is "long non-coding RNA (NTAB_LNC011262)". The record is from RNAcentral. Lineage: Eukaryota; Viridiplantae; Streptophyta; Magnoliopsida; Solanales; Solanaceae.